RNAcentral lists this ribosomal RNA (300 nucleotides) under uncultured bacterium. RNAcentral's name for it is "bacterial SSU rRNA". It matches the Rfam family "Bacterial small subunit ribosomal RNA", at positions 114 to 429 of the family's 1533-position model. The record is from RNAcentral.
CACGUGAGAAUCUGCCCUUAGGAGGAGGAUAACAGCUGGAAACGGUUGCUAAUACUCCAUAUGCCGAGAGGUGAAAGGAAGUAUCUGCCUAAGGAGGAGCUCGCGUCUGAUUAGCUAGUUGGUAGGGUAACGGCCUACCAAGGCGACGAUCAGUAGCUGGUUUGAGAGGAUGAUCAGCCACACUGGGACUGAGACACGGACCAGACUCCUACGGGAGGCAGCAGUGAGGAAUAUUGGUCAAUGGAGGCAACUCUGAACCAGCCAUGCCGCGUGCAGGAAGACUGCCCUAUGGGUUGUAAA